UUAAGCGACUAAGCGUACACGGUGGAUGCCCUGGCAGUCAGAGGCGAUGAAGGACGUGCUAAUCUGCGAUAAGCGUCGGUAAGGUGAUAUGAACCGUUAUAACCGGCGAUUUCCGAAUGGGGAAACCCAGUGUGAUUCGUCACACUAUCAUUAACUGAAUCCAUAGGUUAAUGAGGCGAACCGGGGGAACUGAAACAUCUAAGUACCCCGAGGAAAAGAAAUCAACCGAGAUUCCCCCAGUAGCGGCGAGCGAACGGGGAGCAGCCCAGAGCCUGAAUCAGUGUGUGUGUUAGUGGAAGCGUCUGGAAAGGCGCGCGAUACAGGGUGACAGCCCCGUACACAAAAAUGCACAUGCUGUGAGCUCGAUGAGUAGGGCGGGACACGUGGUAUCCUGUCUGAAUAUGGGGGGACCAUCCUCCAAGGCUAAAUACUCCUGACUGACCGAUAGUGAACCAGUACCGUGAGGGAAAGGCGAAAAGAACCCCGGCGAGGGGAGUGAAAAAGAACCUGAAACCGUGUACGUACAAGCAGUGGGAGCACGCUUAGGCGUGUGACUGCGUACCUUUUGUAUAAUGGGUCAGCGACUUAUAUUCUGUAGCAAGGUUAACCGAAUAGGGGAGCCGAAGGGAAACCGAGUCUUAACUGGGCGUUAAGUUGCAGGGUAUAGACCCGAAACCCGGUGAUCUAGCCAUGGGCAGGUUGAAGGUUGGGUAACACUAACUGGAGGACCGAACCGACUAAUGUUGAAAAAUUAGCGGAUGACUUGUGGCUGGGGGUGAAAGGCCAAUCAAACCGGGAGAUAGCUGGUUCUCCCCGAAAGCUAUUUAGGUAGCGCCUCGUGAAUUCAUCUCCGGGGGUAGAGCACUGUUUCGGCAAGGGGGUCAUCCCGACUUACCAACCCGAUGCAAACUGCGAAUACCGGAGAAUGUUAUCACGGGAGACACACGGCGGGUGCUAACGUCCGUCGUGAAGAGGGAAACAACCCAGACCGCCAGCUAAGGUCCCAAAGUCAUGGUUAAGUGGGAAACGAUGUGGGAAGGCCCAGACAGCCAGGAUGUUGGCUUAGAAGCAGCCAUCAUUUAAAGAAAGCGUAAUAGCUCACUGGUCGAGUCGGCCUGCGCGGAAGAUGUAACGGGGCUAAACCAUGCACCGAAGCUGCGGCAGCGACGCUUAUGCGUUGUUGGGUAGGGGAGCGUUCUGUAAGCCUGUGAAGGUGUACUGUGAGGUAUGCUGGAGGUAUCAGAAGUGCGAAUGCUGACAUAAGUAACGAUAAAGCGGGUGAAAAGCCCGCUCGCCGGAAGACCAAGGGUUCCUGUCCAACGUUAAUCGGGGCAGGGUGAGUCGACCCCUAAGGCGAGGCCGAAAGGCGUAGUCGAUGGGAAACAGGUUAAUAUUCCUGUACUUGGUGUUACUGCGAAGGGGGGACGGAGAAGGCUAUGUUGGCCGGGCGACGGUUGUCCCGGUUUAAGCGUGUAGGCUGGUUUUCCAGGCAAAUCCGGAAAAUCAAGGCUGAGGCGUGAUGACGAGGCACUACGGUGCUGAAGCAACAAAUGCCCUGCUUCCAGGAAAAGCCUCUAAGCAUCAGGUAACAUCAAAUCGUACCCCAAACCGACACAGGUGGUCAGGUAGAGAAUACCAAGGCGCUUGAGAGAACUCGGGUGAAGGAACUAGGCAAAAUGGUGCCGUAACUUCGGGAGAAGGCACGCUGAUAUGUAGGUGAAGUCCCUCGCGGAUGGAGCUGAAAUCAGUCGAAGAUACCAGCUGGCUGCAACUGUUUAUUAAAAACACAGCACUGUGCAAACACGAAAGUGGACGUAUACGGUGUGACGCCUGCCCGGUGCCGGAAGGUUAAUUGAUGGGGUCAGCGCAAGCGAAGCUCUUGAUCGAAGCCCCGGUAAACGGCGGCCGUAACUAUAACGGUCCUAAGGUAGCGAAAUUCCUUGUCGGGUAAGUUCCGACCUGCACGAAUGGCGUAAUGAUGGCCAGGCUGUCUCCACCCGAGACUCAGUGAAAUUGAACUCGCUGUGAAGAUGCAGUGUACCCGCGGCAAGACGGAAAGACCCCGUGAACCUUUACUAUAGCUUGACACUGAACAUUGAGCCUUGAUGUGUAGGAUAGGUGGGAGGCUUUGAAGUGUGGACGCCAGUCUGCAUGGAGCCGACCUUGAAAUACCACCCUUUAAUGUUUGAUGUUCUAACGUUGACCCGUGAUCCGGGUUGCGGACAGUGUCUGGUGGGUAGUUUGACUGGGGCGGUCUCCUCCUAAAGAGUAACGGAGGAGCACGAAGGUUGGCUAAUCCUGGUCGGACAUCAGGAGGUUAGUGCAAUGGCAUAAGCCAGCUUGACUGCGAGCGUGACGGCGCGAGCAGGUGCGAAAGCAGGUCAUAGUGAUCCGGUGGUUCUGAAUGGAAGGGCCAUCGCUCAACGGAUAAAAGGUACUCCGGGGAUAACAGGCUGAUACCGCCCAAGAGUUCAUAUCGACGGCGGUGUUUGGCACCUCGAUGUCGGCUCAUCACAUCCUGGGGCUGAAGUAGGUCCCAAGGGUAUGGCUGUUCGCCAUUUAAAGUGGUACGCGAGCUGGGUUUAGAACGUCGUGAGACAGUUCGGUCCCUAUCUGCCGUGGGCGCUGGAGAACUGAGGGGGGCUGCUCCUAGUACGAGAGGACCGGAGUGGACGCAUCACUGGUGUUCGGGUUGUCAUGCCAAUGGCACUGCCCGGUAGCUAAAUGCGGAAGAGAUAAGUGCUGAAAGCAUCUAAGCACGAAACUUGCCCCGAGAUGAGUUCUCCCUGACUCCUUGAGAGUCCUGAAGGAACGUUGAAGACGACGACGUUGAUAGGCCGGGUGUGUAAGCGCAGCGAUGCGUUGAGCUAACCGGUACUAAUGAACCGUGAGGCUUAACCUU
Molecule: ribosomal RNA, 2902 nt
Filed under: Escherichia coli
Lineage: Bacteria; Pseudomonadati; Pseudomonadota; Gammaproteobacteria; Enterobacterales; Enterobacteriaceae
Description: bacterial LSU rRNA
Rfam family: Bacterial large subunit ribosomal RNA
Source: RNAcentral